This 644-nucleotide long non-coding RNA is filed under the name Bos indicus x Bos taurus (hybrid cattle). RNAcentral's name for it is "lncRNA (ENSBIXG00000022574.1)". Lineage: Eukaryota; Metazoa; Chordata; Mammalia; Artiodactyla; Bovidae. The record is from RNAcentral.
CUCACCUUAUUGUUUUAUAAAAGAAAAAACUGAGGCCCAUGGGGAUAAGGAAGGGGUUGAUUUACUAGAGUGGAUAGCAAAGACUGAAGUCAGAUCUCCUGUCAUCUCUAAAAUAGACUUGCAAACAUCUCUGUGUUGCUGAGAAGAUUAGAAGUAGCAUAAGUCAACCCCUAGACCUAGGCUUGGCCCAGAGAAGGUGCUGAGAAGAGGCUAGCUCCUCUCUACCACAGAGGCAAAGGCAGGGCUGUGCACUUGGUGAACCCAACCCAGUGGCUGCCCAGGGCGGGACAUGAAUGGAGAAGAUGCAGCUCCUCUGACCUGGCGGCACCGGGGUCUCUCAGCUACGGACCAAGUCCUCCUGGGGCCAGGAACCUGUCCAGAUUUGCCUGCUGUUCCAUCAAAGGUCAGCCCCAUCAGGCACCAGAGAAAGAUGCUCUAAACUUCAGCACAUUUGGCUUAUGCUGGAGAUGCUGCUCCUGGUGAAACUCACCUGAAAUGAGCAGGUAGGAUGCCGCAGGCAUUGCUCCAAGUACUUUGCAUGCAUUCAUCGAGAUAAGGACUAUUAUUAUCCCCCCAAAAUAACAAGGAAACGAAGAGAGGUAACUUACUCAAGGUCACUCAGUCAGUAUCAGUCAGUAUCGGAG